GAUGAACGCUGGCGGCGUGCCUAAUACAUGCAAGUCGAGCGAAUGGAUUAAGAGCUUGCUCUUAUGAAGUUAGCGGCGGACGGGUGAGUAACACGUGGGUAACCUGCCCAUAAGACUGGGAUAACUCCGGGAAACCGGGGCUAAUACCGGAUAACAUUUUGAACCGCAUGGUUCGAAAUUGAAAGGCGGCUUCGGCUGUCACUUAUGGAUGGAACCGCGUCGCAUUAGCUAGUUGGUGAGGUAACGGCUCACCAAGGCAACGAUGCGUAGCCGACCGGAGAGGGGAGUCGGCCACACUGGGACUGAGAUACGGCCCAGACUCCUACGGGAGGCAGCAGUAGGGAAUCUUCCGCAAUGGACGAAAGUCUGACGGAGCAACGCCGCGUGAGUGAUGAAGGCUUUCGGGUCGUAAAACUCUGUUGUUAGGGAAGAACAAGUGCUAGUUGAAUAAGCUGGCACCUUGACGGUACCUAACCAGAAAGCCACGGCUAACUACGUGCCAGCAGCCGCAGUAA
This 515-nucleotide ribosomal RNA is filed under the name uncultured bacterium. Its description in RNAcentral is "partial 16S ribosomal RNA". It matches the Rfam family "Bacterial small subunit ribosomal RNA", at positions 28 to 523 of the family's 1533-position model. The record is from RNAcentral.